Molecule: ribosomal RNA, 253 nt
Filed under: uncultured bacterium
Lineage: Bacteria
Description: partial 16S ribosomal RNA
Rfam family: Bacterial small subunit ribosomal RNA
Source: RNAcentral
UACAGAGGGGGCAAGCGUUGUUCGGAAUUACUGGGCGUAAAGGGCGCGUAGGCGGCCUGUUAAGUCGAACGUGAAAUCCCCGGGCUCAACCCGGGAACUGCGUCCGAUACUGGCAGGCUUGAAUCCGGGAGAGGGAUGUGGAAUCCCAGGUGUAGCGGUGAAAUGCGUAGAUAUCUGGAGGAACACCGGUGGCGAAGGCGGCAUCCUGGACCGGUAUUGACGCUGAGGCGCGAAAGCCAGGGGAGCAAACGGG